GCUCGGGUGGUGGAAUUGGUAGACACAAGGGACUUAAAAUCCCUUGUCCUUUUGGACGUGCGGGUUCGAGUCCCGCCCCGAGCA
RNAcentral lists this transfer RNA (84 nucleotides) under Chlamydiia bacterium. RNAcentral's name for it is "tRNA-Leu". It matches the Rfam family "tRNA". Rfam says of the family: Transfer RNA (tRNA) molecules are approximately 80 nucleotides in length. Their secondary structure includes four short double-helical elements and three loops (D, anti-codon, and T loops). Lineage: Bacteria; Pseudomonadati; Chlamydiota; Chlamydiia. The record is from RNAcentral.